This 1372-nucleotide ribosomal RNA is filed under the name uncultured bacterium. RNAcentral's name for it is "bacterial SSU rRNA". It matches the Rfam family "Bacterial small subunit ribosomal RNA", at positions 28 to 1381 of the family's 1533-position model. The record is from RNAcentral.
GAUGAACGCUGGCGGCGUGCCUAAUACAUGCAAGUCGAGCGAACGGACGAGAAGCUUGCUUCUCUGAUGUUAGCGGCGGACGGGUGAGUAACACGUGGAUAACCUACCUAUAAGACUGGGAUAACUUCGGGAAACCGGAGCUAAUACCGGAUGAUAUUUUGAACCGCAUGGUUCAAAAGUGAAAGACGGUCUUGCUGUCACUUAUAGAUGGAUCCGCGCUGCAUUAGCUAGUUGGUAAGGUAACGGCUUACCAAGGCAACGAUGCAUAGCCGACCUGAGAGGGUGAUCGGCCACACUGGAACUGAGACACGGUCCAGACUCCUACGGGAGGCAGCAGUAGGGAAUCUUCCGCAAUGGGCGAAAGCCUGACGGAGCAACGCCGCGUGAGUGAUGAAGGUCUUCGGAUCGUAAAACUCUGUUAUUAGGGAAGAACAUAUGUGUAAGUAACUGUGCACAUCUUGACGGUACCUAAUCAGAAAGCCACGGCUAACUACGUGCCAGCAGCCGCGGUAAUACGUAGGUGGCAAGCGUUAUCCGGAAUUAUUGGGCGUAAAGCGCGCGUAGGCGGUUUUUUAAGUCUGAUGUGAAAGCCCACGGCUCAACCGUGGAGGGUCAUUGGAAACUGGAAAACUUGAGUGCAGAAGAGGAAAGUGGAAUUCCAUGCGUAGCGGUGAAAUGCGCAGAGAUAUGGAGGAACACCAGUGGCGAAGGCGACUUUCUGGUCUGUAACUGACGCUGAUGUGCGAAAGCGUGGGGAUCAAACAGGAUUAGAUACCCUGGUAGUCCACGCCGUAAACGAUGAGUGCUAAGUGUUAGGGGGUUUCCGCCCCUUAGUGCUGCAGCUAACGCAUUAAGCACUCCGCCUGGGGAGUACGACCGCAAGGUUGAAACUCAAAGGAAUUGACGGGGACCCGCACAAGCGGUGGAGCAUGUGGUUUAAUUCGAAGCAACGCGAAGAACCUUACCAAAUCUUGACAUCCUUUGACAACUCUAGAGAUAGAGCCUUCCCCUUCGGGGGACAAAGUGACAGGUGGUGCAUGGUUGUCGUCAGCUCGCGUCGUGAGAUGUUGGGUUAAGUCCCGCAACGAGCGCAACUCUUAAGCUUAGUUGCCAUCAUUAAGUUGGGCACUCUAAGUUGACUGCCGGUGACAAACCGGAGGAAGGUGGGGAUGACGUCAAAUCAUCAUGCCCCUUAUGAUUUGGGCUACACACGUGCUACAAUGGACAAUACAAAGGGCAGCGAAACCGCGAGGUCAAGCAAAUCCCAUAAAGUUGUUCUCAGUUCGGAUUGUAGUCUGCAACUCGACUACAUGAAGCUGGAAUCGCUAGUAAUCGUAGAUCAGCAUGCUACGGUGAAUACGUUCCCGGGUCU